Molecule: ribosomal RNA, 884 nt
Filed under: marine metagenome
Description: bacterial SSU rRNA
Rfam family: Bacterial small subunit ribosomal RNA
Source: RNAcentral
CGAAGGGGGCUAGCGUUGUUCGGAAUCACUGGGCGUAAAGCGUAUGUAGGCGGAUCAAAAAGUUAGAUGUGAAAUCCCUGGGCUCAACCCAGGAACUGCAUUUAAAACUAGUGAUCUAGAAAUUGGUAAGGGUUAGUAGAAUUUCCAGUGUAGAGGUGAAAUUCGUAGAUAUUGGAAAGAAUACCAGAAGCGAAGGCGACUAACUAGGCCAUUUUUGACGCUGAGAUACGAAAGCGUGGGUAGCAAACAGGAUUAGAUACCCUGGUAGUCCACGCAGUAAACGAUGAGUGCUAGUCGCUGGGACAAUAGUUUCAGUGUCGAAGCUAACGCAUUAAGCACUCCGCCUGGGAAGUACGGUCGCAAGAUUAAAACUCAAAUAAAUUGACGGGGGCCCGCACAAGCGGUGGAGCAUGUGGUUUAAUUCGAAGCAACGCGAAGAACCUUACCAGACCUUGACAUGGUGUGUUUGAAAUACAGAAUAGUAUUUCUUCAGUUCGGCUGGCACACACACAGGUGCUGCAUGGCUGUCGUCAGCUCGUGUCGUGAGAUGUUGGGUUAAGUCCCGCAACGAGCGCAACCCUCAUUUUUAGUUGCCAUCAGGUUAUGCUGGGCACUCUAGAAAAACUGCCGGUGAUAAGCUGGAGGAAGGCGGGGAUGACGUCAAGUCCUCAUGGCCCUUACGGUCUGGGCUACACACGUGCUACAAUGGUGGUGACAGAGGGCAGCAAUAUCGCAAGAUAAAGCUAAUCCCAAAAAACCAUCUCAGUUCGGAUUGGACUCUGCAACUCGAGUCCAUGAAGUUGGAAUCGCUAGUAAUCGUAGAUCAGCGUGCUACGGUGAAUACGUUCUCGGGCCUUGUACACACCGCCCGUCACGCCAUGGGA